AUUGAACGCUGGCGGCAGGCCUAACACAUGCAAGUCGAACGGUAACAGAAAGCAGCUUGCUGCUUUGCUGACGAGUGGCGGACGGGUGAGUAAUGUCUGGGAAACUGCCUGAUGGAGGGGGAUAACUACUGGAAACGGUAGCUAAUACCGCAUAACGUCGCAAGACCAAAGAGGGGGACCUUCGGGCCUCUUGCCAUCGGAUGUGCCCAGAUGGGAUUAGCUUGUUGGUGGGGUAACGGCUCACCAAGGCGACGAUCCCUAGCUGGUCUGAGAGGAUGACCAGCCACACUGGAACUGAGACACGGUCCAGACUCCUACGGGAGGCAGCAGUGGGGAAUAUUGCACAAAGGGCGCAAGCCUGAUGCAGCCAUGCCGCGUGUAUGAAGAAGGCCUUCGGGUUGUAAAGUACUUUCAGCGGGGAGGAAGGGAGUAAGGUUAAUACCUUUGCUCAUUGACGUUACCCGCAGAAGAAGCACCGGCUAACUCCGUG
RNAcentral lists this ribosomal RNA (490 nucleotides) under uncultured bacterium. RNAcentral describes it as "partial 16S ribosomal RNA". It matches the Rfam family "Bacterial small subunit ribosomal RNA", at positions 30 to 507 of the family's 1533-position model. The record is from RNAcentral.